This 232-nucleotide ribosomal RNA is filed under the name uncultured bacterium. Its description in RNAcentral is "partial 16S ribosomal RNA". It matches the Rfam family "Bacterial small subunit ribosomal RNA", at positions 99 to 334 of the family's 1533-position model. The record is from RNAcentral.
CGGACGGGUGAGUAAUGUCUGGGAAACUGCCCGAUGGAGGGGGAUAACUACUGGAAACGGUAGCUAAUACCGCAUAACGUCGCAAGACCAAAGAGGGGGACCUUCGGGCCUCUUGCCAUCGGAUGUGCCCAGAUGGGAUUAGCUAGUAGGUGGGGUAACGGCUCACCUAGGCGGCGAUCCCUAGCUGGUCUGAGAGGAUGACCAGCCACACUGGAACUGAGACACGGUCCAG